Molecule: long non-coding RNA, 1285 nt
Filed under: Astyanax mexicanus (Mexican tetra)
Lineage: Eukaryota; Metazoa; Chordata; Actinopteri; Characiformes; Acestrorhamphidae
Description: lncRNA (ENSAMXG00005002503.1)
Source: RNAcentral
UGACGACAAGGGCCAUCCACCUACAUAGGGGUCUAUUUCUGUCCUGCCUCUUUCAAGUCUUAGUAGCAACGUGGUGUUGGUUACUUGCAUGACAUGCUUUUGAAAUACUUAGUUCGGCUUUUGACAUUUUGUGUUGCUCUCGUGUCUUCAAAUGGAAUAAAAUGCGCAGGAAAAUGUAAGCUCUCCACUGUGAACAUCACUCUGGGAUCAGAGGUGUUUCUGCCAUGCAUACUUGGGAAGAGUAAUCAAACAGAUGAAGUGAACUGGAGCCACAAUUCCAGCCUCCUGAGCAUCAGCUUGAAAGGAAACAUCACAUUUGAGGAUCCCAGAGAUGGCAGAGUGGCGGUGUUUCCCAGCCUUUUCAGUAAAGGAAACUUCUCCAUCUCAAUCCAAAUGGUCCAGAACUCUGACCUGGGCAAGUACUGCUGCCAGCUGGGCAAGGAGUGCCAUAGAGUGGAGCUGGAUCAAGUCCAGUUCAGGGAGAAAGAAGCAGAUUGGAAAAUUCCAUGGUAUUAUAUUGUUGCUGGAAUUGGAUGCCUCAUUCUGCUGGUGAUCACAUGUAGCCUUAUUCAUGAAUUCAGAGGACUGUAUGUAAAGAAAUCGACUGAAUCUUAUGACGUCAACUCCUCACAAAAUGAGGCAGCUAAUCCUUCUGGAAACAGACGCAAUGAGAGAGCAAGACGAAAUGAGAACGGCGCGACAGAAGAGGAUGAUGGCCACUAUGAAGACAUGCACGGAGACGAGCACGACAAAGAUUAUGAAACCAUGCAGGAGCACAUCGGCCAACACGAAGAUUCAGACAGAGAUGAAGAGGAGGACUAUGUAAACACUGAGAGGGGACAGGGGGAAGGCCAGUACAUCAAUUCUGAGAGGUCAGAUCCUCGCGGACACCGUGCACAGAGAGGCCACCAGCAGCGGUCACCAACUGUUGUCUAUGAAAAUGACCAUCACGACCCCAGCGGACUUCAGAUAAGAUCACAACCUCAAAACAGGGACUUAAGUGAAACACAAAGUCAGCCACACUCGAGAGCACCGUACUAUGUGAACCAGACAGAAUUCAGCAAUCCUGGAGGCGCUGCCAAAAGAAAACAACCCCGUAAGAAAAAGAAACCUCCUCCCACAGAAUAUCAGUUCAGAAACCCAAUAUAUGGAGACAGCAGUGUGGCACCUAAUAAAUAGACCCUCAUGUUGAAUUCACUAAACACUGAAGCUGGUCGUUUAUGUCAUGGAGUUAAGAUACCUGUUACACCAGUGCAUACAUAACUGUAAUAAAAUAAAAUAAAAA